CAUAGCGACUAUCGUGGCAUAUCAAUAAGCGGAGGAAAAGAAACUAACAAGGAUUCCCCUAGUAACGGCGAGUGAAGCGGGAAGAGCUCAAAUUUGAAAUCUUAAAGGGUUUCCCUUUACGAAUUGUAGUUUAAAGAAGUGUUUUCUGUUGGAGUUUCGGUAAAAGUUCUUUGGAAUAGGACAUCAUAGAGGGUGAGAAUCCCGUAUUUGACCGUUACUUUCCAGCUGUGUGAUACACCUUCAAAGAGUCGGAUUGUUUGGGAAUGCAGUCCAAAAUGGGUGGUAAAUUUCAUCUAAAGCUAAAUAUUGGCGAGAGACCGAUAGCGAACAAGUACCGUGAGGGAAAGAUGAAAAGAACUUUGAAAAGAGAGUUAAACAGUACGUGAAAUUGUCAAAAGGGAAGCGUUUGACACCAGUGUUGUUUUCUCGAAAAUCAAUUAAAAAUGAUGGGAUUUUGUGUUGUAUUGACUUUAUCAGCUUUCUGCACUUUUUUCUUAUCUUUUUUAAUGCACUUUUCGUUUAACAAGUCAACAUCAAUUUCUUUUGUUGUAAAAGAGUCAUUGGAAGGUGGCUUUUCUUUCGGAGAAAAGUGUUUAUAGCCUUUGACUUCUGCAGUCGGAGAGAUUGAGGUCUGCAGCGUAGAUCCUUCGGGGUUAGAUACAUUUGUGCUAAGCUAUAGUUCUUUAUAGACAACUUGUUGACUAUAAUCAAUCCUGUAACUUACUCGCUUAUGCUAUUUUACCUACGCUUAGGAUGUUGAUAUGCAUGACUGAUAU
This 776-nucleotide ribosomal RNA is filed under the name uncultured Neocallimastigales. Its description in RNAcentral is "partial large subunit ribosomal RNA". It matches the Rfam family "Eukaryotic large subunit ribosomal RNA", at positions 22 to 629 of the family's 3401-position model. The record is from RNAcentral. Lineage: Eukaryota; Fungi; Neocallimastigomycota; Neocallimastigomycetes; Neocallimastigales.